RNAcentral lists this ribosomal RNA (274 nucleotides) under uncultured bacterium. RNAcentral's name for it is "partial 16S ribosomal RNA". It matches the Rfam family "Bacterial small subunit ribosomal RNA", at positions 523 to 796 of the family's 1533-position model. The record is from RNAcentral.
AUACGAAGGGGGCUAGCGUUGUUCGGAGUUACUGGGCGUAAAGCGCACGUAGGCGGAUUGAUUAGUUAGGGGUGAAAUCCCGAGGCUCAACCUCGGAACUGCCUCUAAAACUGUCAAUCUCGAGACCGGAAGAGGUGAGUGGAACUCCUAGUGUAGAGGUGGAAUUCGUAGAUAUUAGGAAGAACACCAGUGGCGAAGGCGGCUCACUGGUCCGGUACUGACGCUGAGGUGCGAAAGCGUGGGGAGCGAACAGGAUUAGAAACCCUAGUAGUCC